UUUCGAAUUAUUUGCAAUGGGGGCAACCCUGACAGUGCAACGCCGCGUGAGGGAUGAAGGUCUUCGGAUCGUAAACCUCUGUCACCGGACAUUAAUGUGCGCUAGUUAAUAGCUGACGUAUUGAAAAUCCGGAGAGGAAGCAGUGGCUAACUCCGUGCCAGCAGCCGCGGUAAUACGGAGACUGCAAGCGUUACUCGGAAUCACUGGGCGUAAAGGGUGCGUAGGUUGUUGGGUGUGACUGACGUGAAAUCCCAGGGCUUAACCCUGGAACUGCGUUGGUUCCUACCCAUCUAGAGUGUCGGAGAGGCAGGCGGAAUUCCCGGAGUAGCGGUGAAAUGCGUAGAUAUCGGGAAGAACACCGAAAGCGAAGGCAGCCUGCUGGACGACAACUGACACUGAG
This 400-nucleotide ribosomal RNA is filed under the name uncultured bacterium. RNAcentral's name for it is "bacterial SSU rRNA". It matches the Rfam family "Bacterial small subunit ribosomal RNA", at positions 355 to 750 of the family's 1533-position model. The record is from RNAcentral.